UACGUAGGGUGCAAGCGUUAAUCGGAAUUACUGGGCGUAAAGCGUGCGCAGGCGGCUUUGCAAGACGGAUGUGAAAUCCCCGGGCUUAACCUGGGAACUGCAUUUGUGACUGCAUGGCUGGAGUGCGGCAGAGGGGGAUGGAAUUCCGCGUGUAGCAGUGAAAUGCGUAGAUAUGCGGAGGAACACCGAUGGCGAAGGCAAUCCCCUGGGCCUGCACUGACGCUCAUGCACGAAAGCGUGGGGAGCAAACAGG
RNAcentral lists this ribosomal RNA (253 nucleotides) under uncultured bacterium. RNAcentral describes it as "partial 16S ribosomal RNA". It matches the Rfam family "Bacterial small subunit ribosomal RNA", at positions 524 to 776 of the family's 1533-position model. The record is from RNAcentral.